AUCACCGGGGUCUGACAGACGUUCCUUGUAACAGUCUCUCUCUUUCUCUCUCCACCCAGCGCUAAUCAGCCACACUCAUUACUGACGCUGAUUAAACUGCAAAUUAGCCAGCGGCGGCCCUCGCGCGCUUCGCUCAAUAUCAAUUAAGGCGAGCAGCUUGCGCGCGCUCUCGGGAAUGCCAUCCAAAUGCUUGAUCGUGUCACUUAUUAGUUUGGAAAACUAGGAAAAUACCAAUAAUCAACCGUCAAGGGAAUAAAAGAGACAAACUGGUAAUUCCUGCAGGAACGGUGCUCUGGAAUGGUGCUCAGUAUCAGCACAUCCUGCCACAGUGGAUGAAGAUGAAGACACCACUUCUGCUGUGACAGAGGUACAAAAUGAAGAUGCUGGGAGGACCACAGAGAUUAUGGCUGGGGAUUCCUGUACAGAGGAAGGUCCAUCUACAUCCACACAGAAUCUGCCUGAAAAAGGAGCUGUAUAAGGUCCAUCUUCAAAUGCAAAUUAGAAAAGUUGAUCUGGAGCUGGACCUUCUACAACUACAAAUGGAGAAGAAAAAAAAAACGUGAACUUAAAAAGGCCAGUCUUGAAACUGAAUUGCUGAAGCACUGGUAUUUUUAAGCAAAUAUUAAGUAUUUACCUAGUGAUUAUUGUUGAAUGGUCAAGCAAUAAAUAGAAAUGUCUUUCAAUUAGAGGAAAUAAAGAAACAAUGAACCACACUUAACUGUUCACUUUGUGCAUUAGUCAUUUAAUUAGAAAUGAUGUUGGCAGAUCACAUUACACUCUGCAAUCUCUUUGGUUCACUCUUGCUAUCUUCAUAAAUGGUUCAUCAUGGUUUAUGGCCAGAGAACUUCACAACAUUGUGUAGACCAGCUCAUUGAUGGUUAGACCAAUUUUAAC
Ictalurus punctatus (channel catfish) is the source of this 894-nucleotide long non-coding RNA. The record is from Ensembl. Lineage: Eukaryota; Metazoa; Chordata; Actinopteri; Siluriformes; Ictaluridae.